UUGGAGCUGUCAGACUUCAUAGUCCGAUCAAAAUCCACUUGUCGUUCGGUUGCCAUUGUCCUUCUAUUAAUCUCUGACCUGAUGGAUUCUACAUCCAUCGCAUCAUCACAAAGGCGCCGCAGUAUCUCAAUCUUUGUCAUCACAGGUAGUUUGUAAUAGUCACUCUGAGAAAGCUUCAAGUGACAGAGAUCGAAACCAGAGACGUAUCCAGAACUGUAUACUAACAGAUACUCAACAACAAACACGGGCCAUGUGAUCAAAUCCAGCAAAUCCCAAUUAUGAGACCUAAGUUACAAAUAGAAUAUAAAAGAAUUAUGUACCAAGAAAUUGGAACCGAAAUGCAUAACUUUUGGAAUCAAAGUAAACUAAAUACCUGAGACAAUUAGACGAAGACAUAUCACCUUCACUGGAAAGCAACUCCAAAUGCUUCCGUAAUGUUUGCAAAAGGCAAACGUGAACGGAAUCAAACAAUAAUGUAGAAUGGUUACAUUUCACGGAUGCCAGAAAAUCAUCCAGCUCAAAUGGGCUUAGAAACAGUGAAGUACUGAAAGACCUCAAGAAUGCAUAAACAGAAAGAAUAUCAAAUGCAGAAACACCAUUUAUAUCCAAAUUUCCAGAAGAAGGUGGCAACUCCACCUUUGGCGGAAGAACAUCCUCCUCAGAUCUUUUACGACACAACACUUCAAUCUUUUCCUCGCAAACUGAACUAAUCGCUGGAGAGGACAGCCGAUUACUGACUCUGUCUAUCCCUACUGUAUUAAAAACAUGAUCUUGACCAGAAAAAGAAUCCCUAUUCACUCUGCGAUUGCUCCUUCUCAAUCCUGUUUCUGGUGUAGCAGAUGUAAUAUUAUUAUCAGAUACAUCUCUUCUCUUCCUACCUCUUCUCCCUCCUGGCGCACUUCCAGGAACUUGUUUAUCAUAAUCAAGUACACCACUACCACUUUCCCGUUGUUUUUCGUAGUUGUCUUUUGAGUUUAUAUUCACAUUUCUUCCAUCCGUGUUUGCCAUCUGUGGCACGUCCAAGUUAAUAUUGUCAUCCGAGAUCCUUCUUCUCUUCCUACCCCUUCUGCCCCUUGGCACACUGACAGGAACCUCAUUUUCAAAAUCAACUCUGCCGGCACAGUUCUCCGCUGUUACGCCUAUUUUUUCUAAAUUUAUAUUCUCAUUUCCAUUUUCACCCUUCACAUUAAAUAAAAUAACCUUAUCAUCCCCACGAAUCUCUUCCUUCUCUGGCUUAUCUUCUUCUGCACAGAAUUUUUCAUUUUCCCCAAACUUUCCCGGUGAGUUACCUGAAUUCUUAAUCUCAUUCUCUGGUAACUCGAAAUUCAAGUCAAGACAAACCCUUUUUUUCUCGGGACUAAAAUUCUCAGAAUCUUCAUUUACAUCCAAAUUCAAAUCAAUUAUUUCUUUCCUUUUACCCGACCUGUCGUAUGAAACCCCUUCAUUGAAAUCCAUACCCUCAUUCCUCAACUCCAAAUUCACCGCUUCAUUCAAAUCCACACCUUGCAGCUUAGCCCCACCACCAGCACAGUUAUAACCCAAAUUCCCCCCAUCGUCAUCAUUCAAAUUAUUAAACCCAUCAUCAUUUAUAUCCAACCCUUCAUUCAAAUUAAAACCAGCCGCAUUCAAUUCCAUUUCCCCAGAACCCCCACCUAGAUUACCAGAAACACCACUCUCUAAUACCGAAAUAUCAAUUUUACCUGUAUUUAUGUGGCUCCGCUUCCUCGGUUUGCGGCCAAGCCUUCUGGUGGGCUCCUCCACGAAGGAUGGCUGCGCUUCCCGAGCCAAUUCCAGUCCCUCGGGAGACACCAACAGAGAACUAAUUUCAUUCAAGUCCAAUUCCUCGGAAUCGCCGUCUUCGUACACGAUCUUGAAAAACCCAGUUGACGCGUCAUAUGAUUCGACGGAACCGAAGAAUGUACCGUGCCCUUCAAACUCUUUCUUCACCUUUCUCCCCACGAACUCCAUUUCCCUAAAAUUCAGACCUUCAUGAAUACCAUAAAAUAAAAAAAUAAAAAAUAUCGAAGAAUAUAUUGAAACUGAAAGAAUAAAACCCGGAAUUCGAAUCGAUCUCUAUAACCCCUUUCAGUCUCGGAAAGAGAGAAAAAUGGUUGGGAGUUUUCGCUUCGAGUCUCUCUCUCUAGACUACAAAGUAAAAAGAAGUUGGUGUUUUGACGGUGUGAGAGAGUGGGGACUACACGCAGUCUAAGCAAUGUGAAUAACUACACAGCUGCGUUUCUUACGUGACUGACUUCAAAACGGAUGAAAAUAAGUGCUUUUACACACACACACACACACAAUUACUUAAUUACGUUUGACCGUAUUUGUGUAUAUGAAUGUAUUUUUAGUUGAAUACGAUAACUAUGCAAUUAUAACUUUAAUUGACAGACUGAUUUUAAUCAACAAGGUUAAUCGUGAUGUAGUUUUGAAAUACGUGCAAUUGUAUUUGAAUACAUGACUACGGAAUAAAUUUUGAUUGGUUGAUAGAUUUAUUGGUGAAGUUUAUUUGCCAAAUAGAUGGAUGUUCGUAAUCAUCGAUGAUGGUGCAACUAUAACUUUAACAGAUAGGAUUUAUAAAUGGAGUAAUAAUAUUUAUUAUUAACGAUAAUCAUAAUCAGUGUAGGUGACUGUAGAUCUUCUGAAUUAUUAUUUAUUUCAUUAAAAUGUAUCACAACACCAUUUGAAAGGGAAAUUAAUGAGUCCAUGACCACCUAAAUAGUAUUGCCCUAUUAAUAGCCUGUUUGGGAGUGAUUUUAAAAAUUGAUUUUUUGACCGUUAGGAAAAAAGUGGGGUCCACCUGUGAGGGAAGAAGUCAAAUAUGAUGGCUGAAAUAGUGAAAUAACGGUCAAAAAAUCAACUUUUUGAGGAAAGAAAUGGGCCCAAAUAGGCCAUAAAUAAGGUUAUUUUGGUAAGUGGGAUUUUUGUCUCAAAUCAAGAUUUUUGAAAUGUAUGUGCUUGUUUGCAUUUCUGUAAUCGUAUUUGAAUGCAAUAACAAUGUAAUAUAAUAACUUUAAAGAGGUGACUUAAUAAAGAGGGGGGUGUGUAUUUGUCAUUCAAUGUGAUGACAAUUUAACGAUAACUUUAUCGUGCAGAUUUGGUAAAUAAGGCAUUUGGUAGCUGUAAUAUUAUCAAUUUUUUAAAAUGCAAAAAUGUGUAUUUAUAUUUAUAUACAUGUUGUGUGUGUAUAUAUCAUUGAAUGCGAUGACGAUGCAGUGAGGCAUAUAUAUACAUGUUUGUGGCUACAUUCACACUAUCUUUAACAAAGUGAACGAUAAAAGUAGUUUAGUUGGUACUGGUGAUUUUGUCUUCCUUCGAUACUUGUGAAAAAAGCAUGUAAGCAAUGGUAACUUUAGCAGAGUUGUUUAAUAAAUUAGGUAAGUUGGUAGCGAUGCUCUUGUUCGUUUUCGAAAAUUACAAUUUUUCUUGUAUGUGUAUGUAUAUUUAACAUCAAUUUUAACGAAGGUAGUGUAGGUAAGAAUGUUACUUACCACGUGGUGUUUGAUUCAUUUAUGUGUCUUAAUACGAUUGGAUGAAGUACAACUUAGAGAUACAAUUAAAUUAGCUUCAUAAGGGUCAAAAUUAGAGAGAUGUUUUGAGGAUAAUAGAAGUAUUGUUGCAAUUCCCUUAUCAUUUUUUAGAAAUUGCGUUCGUAUAUCUUUUAUGGGAUAUUUCUUGGCUUUUGAACUUUGACAUUUCUUUAUGUAAACAUAAUUGCUUAGGCCAUAUGUGAGUCUCCUUUUUGUUUAGAAUAAAUUUUGUAAGAGCGAAUUUUUUUUAUUUUUAUUUUUUAAAAUGUGGGGUUAGAAAAUAGGCAAAGUUUUAAAUUUGAAUUCAAAAUUAUUUUAUUGAAGGAACGUAAUCUUAAAAAUGAGAAAAGAUGAAUUUUAAACAUGAGCUUAACAAAGUUUAAUUGAAGUUGUAACACUACUUUCCACACAACAUGAUUAUAAGCAUUUUCCUGUUGUUUGUCAUUAAACACGAUGACGCAACAUUAAGUUUAAUCAAGUAAUUUAAUAAAUAAGGUUAUUUUUGCGAGGCGGGCAUGUUUAUAUGCUUGUGUGUAUGUAUUUGUCAACUGUCAUUCAAUGUGAUGACGAUGCAACCCUUAACCUUGUUAGAGUGAUUUUAUGACGUAUGUAAUUUGGUCGUGGUGUUUUUUAUUAUUGUUCGAGAUUUAAAAAAUACGUUCAUAUGUAAACUUCAAAAGAGUCAAUAGAAUAAGUUAGUCUAUUGUUGUGCUUAAUUUUGUUAUGAAACUUAAAUAGUUUUGUGUAUAUAUUCAUAUAUAAGCAACAUUGAUAUGAACAGAGUUGAUUUAAAGUCUGUUUGAUAGAAGUUAAAAUCCAAAUUUUAGUUUUAAGUCAAAGUAUUCAAUUAAUUUAUAUAUAUAUAUAUAUAUAAACUCUUUUUUCAAUACCAUGCUAGUUGAAGCAACUUUAUGAUCAUUAAAACAUUAUAUAUAUGGGUGUGUGUGUGUGUAACUUUAUGAUCAUUAAAACAUUAUAAACUCAGAUAUUGAUAAGAUCCGUCUACAAACUUAUCAAUUGUUUCGUAUGUGGACAUAAAUGAUUGAUUAACUAUUCAUAAUAAAACAAAUAUAUGUAAUUUUCUUGGUUUUAAUAAAGAAAGGAACUUACACCAACAGAUAACCACAGCUGCUAUAAUAUAGUCGGCCAUAAGGAUCCAUCCCCAACAAUUCUGCUCCUCGAAUAGACUUCCCUGCUUUCAUCGAAGGCUUAUCCUUGUUAAUUGCACAUUCAGGGCAAUACCAAUCCCCCUCUGGCAAGAGGCUGCUGACAACUCCUACGCAUCUGGAAUGAAAUGCCGCAGGACAACCAUCACAACAUAUUAAGUUCCCAUCCAUCUUACAUAGGCAGCACUCAUCACUGUUCCAAUCUGCAGUUUCUUCAACAUCCUCCUCUGUGAUGCAAGAACCGCUAGCAACAUCCAUUACCGCCUUUCUUUUCUUGGAGCUGUCAGACUUCAUAGUCCGAUCAAAAUCCACUUGUCGUUCGGUUGCCAUUGUCCUUCUAUUAAUCUCUGACCUGAUGGAUUCUACAUCCAUCGCAUCAUCACAAAGGCGCCGCAGUAUCUCAAUCUUUGUCAUCACAGGUAGUUUGUAAUAGUCACUCUGAGAAAGCUUCAAGUGACAGAGAUCGAAACCAGAGACGUAUCCAGAACUGUAUACUAACAGAUACUCAACAACAAACACGGGCCAUGUGAUCAAAUCCAGCAAAUCCCAAUUAUGAGA
RNAcentral lists this long non-coding RNA (5251 nucleotides) under Olea europaea (common olive). RNAcentral describes it as "long non-coding RNA (OEUR_LNC010059)". The record is from RNAcentral. Lineage: Eukaryota; Viridiplantae; Streptophyta; Magnoliopsida; Lamiales; Oleaceae.